GACGAACGCUGGCGGCGUGCUUAACACAUGCAAGUCGAACGGAACGGCCCUGCUUUUGUGGGGUGCUCGAGUGGCGAACGGGUGAGUAACACGUGAGUAACCUGCCCUUGACUUUGGGAUAACUUCAGGAAACUGGGGCUAAUACCGGAUAGGAGCUCCUGCUGCAUGGUGGGGGUUGGAAAGUUUCGGCGGUUGGGGAUGGACAAGCGCCUUAUCGGCUUGUUGGUUGGGUAGUGGCUGAGCAAGGUUUUGACGGGUAGCCGGCCUGGGCGGGUGACCGGCCACAUUGGAACUGGGAUACGGCCCAGACCCCUACGGGAGGCAGCAGUGGGGAAUGUUGCACUAUGGGCGGAGGCCUGAUGCAGCAACGCCGCGUGCGGGAUGACGUCCUUCGGGUUGGGUACCGCAUUCGCUUUUGACGGAGCGUGAAUGACGGUAAUGGGUAAAGAAGCACCGGCUAACUACGUG
RNAcentral lists this ribosomal RNA (468 nucleotides) under uncultured bacterium. Its description in RNAcentral is "partial 16S ribosomal RNA". It matches the Rfam family "Bacterial small subunit ribosomal RNA", at positions 28 to 507 of the family's 1533-position model. The record is from RNAcentral.